RNA transcript from Lotus japonicus, 3030 nucleotides. It is a transcript of the gene named DNA replication licensing factor MCM4-like, with no coding region annotated. Lineage: Eukaryota; Viridiplantae; Streptophyta; Magnoliopsida; Fabales; Fabaceae. The transcript has 16 exons. The record is from RefSeq and is a predicted model, not a curated record.
UAUCAACAUCUCUCUCAAUUCUGCUCAAGUGAUUAGCCACCAAAUUUUGUGCUUCACUUCUAUCUCGAAUCUCCGAAUCAAACUCUUGGAGGAAAAACAUCCAUCUAACUAACCUUGGCUUGGAUUGAACUUCCUGCAACAUGAACUUUAAAGUUGAACUUUCUGUUGGCUUAGGGUUUUAGGGUUUCAAUGUGAUGAAUCAUUCAAACAUGCACUUGAUGCUACCGUCCAGGUUCCGUGGAAGAAUGGAGGAAUCAAAGCGGCGGAGGACGGAGGAAGGACUGUGAAUACUGAGAGUAACACGUCUGGUCUCAGUUUUGAUGGUGAAGACCAAAAGCCUGAUGGGAAUGUUGGGAAGAGGAAAUUUCUCAUGCUGAUAGCUCAGCUAUGAUGCAAGAUAUUGUGGUGGCUGCGGUUUGUCGUUGCCAUGCAAAACCAUGAAGAAGAUCAAGGAUUCAAGUCACACACCUCAAUUUCAUUGCAAACACUGUGCUGAGGUUAUAAAAAGUGGUGUAUUUAUUCAUAAUGCUUUCAAGAUUUUCACUAGCGAAGUUUAUAGCAGAUCCCUAUAUUCAAUAAAUAUUAGCAAUUGCUUGGACCUGCAACCUCCUCUUUACCUCUCUCCAAAAUCCACCUGUGAAACCCUUUUGCGGCACCAACCUCCAUCCCUCUGAUUACUUUCCUGAUGCCUUUUUAAUGCAAGCUCCACGUGAUGUUUUCAGCUUCAUAUCGUAUUACCUCUAAUAAUUUUCUUUUUGAGAGAGUGGAACAUCACCUCUGUGCAGAAUAUGCUCAACAUUUGUGCUAUGGAACUGGAUCAAUUUUGGUUCAUGAGGAUGAUUUGUGGAAUCAUUUUGAGCACAUGGUAAAUGUGGAAGUGGACAAUGCAGUUUAUAAUUAUUCAAAACAAAGAGCAGUUGAUACAAUGGUUUACGUAUUGGAAAUGAGGUUAAACUCUCAAUGGGUGAAGGAGUUCAAGUAUCCCAAUUUGCUGGCAGAGCAUUACAAGUCAUAUGCUUGCCUUUUUCGUCAAUGGAUCUCACAGCACAUUCUAGUUAUUUUACCCAUGCUUGUUGGAUGCAUAGCUUUGUUCUGGAAUGUCCAUGGAAACUGCACAUGUCCCGACGAGUUGAGGAGCUUUACAACAAGGCAAAUCGACUUGUAGGCUUCUUUUCAGAUUUUGAGAGGAUGGUGUCAUUUAAGGGGAUGAUUAUACAAUGUAGCUCAAUCAUAGCGGAAAUAAGGGAAGCUAUAUUUAGGUGUCUUGUGUGUGGAUUCUGCACUGAACCAGUUGCUGUAGAGAGAGGGCGGAUUACUGUACCUACUAUAUGCUUGAGGGAAGAUUGCACUGGUUCACAACCAAUGCAGGUUUUCAGAUAAGUAAAUUGUGAGGAUCCAGGAGACUCCUGAUGAGAUGCCUAAAGGAGGAACACUUCACAGUUCACACAGUUAGCUUGCUGAUGCAGGACAAGCUGGUAGAUGCUGGAAAGCGAGGUGACGGAGUUGAGGUGACUGGUAUUUGUAGGGCUAUGAGUGUCAGGGGCCAACUCAGAAUUGUCAAGUCAUUAUUCAAGAUAUAUAUUGAUUGUCUUCACAUAAAGAAGUCCGUUGAGUCCAGGAUGCUGAUAGGGGAUACUAUGGAGGUUGACAAUCCCCAGGGAAAAAAUGCAGAAGUUGCCUUUGAUGAAGAAAAGGUGGCUAAACUGAAGAUGUCAAAAGAUCCGAUAUAUAUGAAAGACUAACAAAGUCAUUAGUGCCAAACAUCUAAGAGCUAGGUGAUGUGAAGAAAGACCUUCUUUGUCAGCUUUUUAGUGGCAAUGCUUUGACGUUGGCAUCCGGUGCUAGCUUCGGUGGUGAUAUAAAUAUUCUUCUCGUUGGUGAUCCUGGGACAAGCAAGUCCCAACCACUACAGUACAUAUACACAAAUUAUCUCCACGUUGCAUUCACACAAGUGGAAGGAGGAGUUCUGCUGUUGGACAAACGGCUUAUGUGACCAAAUAUCCUGAAACAGGCUAAAUACAUUUAUUUAUUUUUUUAAUCGCCUUUUGUACAAGAAAUUUGGUGGACUCUAAUUAUUUCUGCUUAAUCUUCAGGUUCUUGAGAGUGGUGCCCUAGUUUUGAGUGAUCGUGGUAUCUGCUAUAUAGAUGAAUUCGGUAGAAUGUCUGACAAUGCCAGGAGCAUGUUACAAGAGGUUAUGCAACAACAAACCGUUUCAAUAGCAAAGGCAGACAUUAUUGCUUCUCUUAACUUCGAUGUUGGCUUGUGCAAAUCCAAGUGGGUCACGAUAUAGUCCUCGCUUGACCGUCAUUGACAACAUACACCUUCUUCCCACUCUUCUGUCCAGAUGUUGAAUGUUGAUAGUGGAAAUGUCAAGGCAUCAUAGAACGCAGCAGCCAUCAGGUUGUCCCUGAUCAGUACUUACUUAUGAAAGUGCUCCAUCAAGAUUCAAGAAUGUGAAGUGAAUCUGACGUGAACCUUGGAGGACGAUGGCUAUGGCAGAUAUAGCAUAGAAGUAUGUUUUUGUUUCAGUCUUAUUCAUUUUUGUUGGUUCUGUAAAUGGCCUCUUAAUAUUGCUUUGUAAUAACCCGGUGAGAUGAGUGGUGGGUAUGAUCUCGGUGAGGCUGCUUUUUCUAUUUAAACACUUGUGUGUACUCAUAGGGUCAAUCGUGAGCAACGCUUAGCUAUCCAUCUGAGAAUGGCUUGGAUAGAAGCAGAACCAAGCUGUGGGUACGUACCCGUACCGGAGUACGUAUUGACCAAGCUGUGGGUACAUGAAUUCUCAAGGUGCAUGAACAAUAAACAAGAACAACAAUUUAUGGGAAGUUCCGGUGGAGGAUUUUGAUUCGGUGAUAGAUACCAAUGUCAAAGCUACCAAUGUGUUGCGACACUUUAUCCUCUCAUGCUCGUGAACAGGCAAGGUGUCAUGGUCAACAUGUCUUCUGUCAACAUUUUCCUCUCUCAUAGGCUCAUAGCCAUACUACGAUUUUUUCCGUUAAGCUUGAAUUUUAAUUGGAAAAACAAAUCCUUCU